GUCUACGGCCAUAGCACCCUGAACGUGCCCGACGUUGUCUGAUCUCAGAAGCUAAGCAGGGUCUGGCCUGGUUAGGACUUGAAUGGGAGAAGGGGAAUGUACCUGGACUCAAGACA
Molecule: ribosomal RNA, 116 nt
Filed under: Castor canadensis (American beaver)
Lineage: Eukaryota; Metazoa; Chordata; Mammalia; Rodentia; Castoridae
Source: RNAcentral